CAGAACACCUUAAGGCGAACGAGACCAAAUCUUCUGCUACGCUCGUAGAGAUUCGAGAGCUUAAUCUUUCGGACGCGGGUUCGAUUCCCGCCAUCUCCACCU
RNAcentral lists this transfer-messenger RNA (102 nucleotides) under Porphyromonadaceae bacterium. Its description in RNAcentral is "partial transfer-messenger RNA". It matches the Rfam family "transfer-messenger RNA", at positions 275 to 374 of the family's 374-position model. From Rfam's summary of the family: Bacterial tmRNA, also known as 10Sa RNA or SsrA, is named for its dual tRNA and mRNA-like properties. Its role is to liberate the mRNA from a stalled ribosome. Lineage: Bacteria; Pseudomonadati; Bacteroidota; Bacteroidia; Bacteroidales; Porphyromonadaceae. The record is from RNAcentral.